RNAcentral lists this ribosomal RNA (1718 nucleotides) under Acinetobacter baumannii UH6207. RNAcentral's name for it is "bacterial LSU rRNA". It matches the Rfam family "Bacterial large subunit ribosomal RNA", at positions 1227 to 2925 of the family's 2925-position model. The record is from RNAcentral. Lineage: Bacteria; Pseudomonadati; Pseudomonadota; Gammaproteobacteria; Moraxellales; Moraxellaceae.
GGUAGGGGAGCGUUCUGUAAGCCGAUGAAGGUGUAUUGAGAAGUAUGCUGGAGGUAUCAGAAGUGCGAAUGCUGACGUGAGUAACGACAAAACGGGUGAAAAACCCGUUCGCCGAAAGACCAAGGGUUCCAGUCCAACGUUAAUCGGGGCUGGGUGAGUCGACCCCUAAGGCGAGGCCGAAAGGCGUAGUCGAUGGGAAAAUGGUUAAUAUUCCAUUACUUCUGUGUAAUGCGAUGAGAGGACGGAGAAGGCUAAAUCAGCCUGGCGUUGGUUGUCCAGGUGAAAGGAUGUAGGCAUGUAUCUUAGGCAAAUCCGGGGUACUCUAUGCUGAGAUCUGAUAGCAAGCUGUACUUGUACAGCGAAGUGGUUGAUGCCAUGCUUCCAGGAAAAGUCUCUAAGCUUCAGUUACACAGGAAUCGUACCCGAAACCGACACAGGUGGUCAGGUCGAGUAGACCAAGGCGCUUGAGAGAACUCUGCUGAAGGAACUAGGCAAAAUGGUACCGUAACUUCGGGAGAAGGUACGCUGUUGUUGGUGAUGGAACUCGCUUCCUGAGCUGACGACAGCCGCAGAAACCAGGCCGCUGCAACUGUUUAUUAAAAACAUAGCACUCUGCAAACACGAAAGUGGACGUAUAGGGUGUGAUGCCUGCCCGGUGCUGGAAGGUUAAUUGAUGGGGUUAGCGUAAGCGAAGCUCUUGAUCGAAGCCCCAGUAAACGGCGGCCGUAACUAUAACGGUCCUAAGGUAGCGAAAUUCCUUGUCGGGUAAGUUCCGACCUGCACGAAUGGCAUAAUGAUGGCGGCGCUGUCUCCAGCAGAGGCUCAGUGAAAUCGAAAUCGCUGUGAAGAUGCAGUGUACCCGCGGCUAGACGGAAAGACCCCGUGAACCUUUACUGCAGCUUGACACUGAACUUUGACCUUACUUGUGUAGGAUAGGUGGGAGGCUUUGAAGCUGGAACGCUAGUUCCAGUGGAGCCGUCCUUGAAAUACCACCCUGGUAAUGUUGAGGUUCUAACUCUGUCCCGUGAUCCGGGACGAGGACCGUGUCUGGUGGGUAGUUUGACUGGGGCGGUCUCCUCCUAAAGAGUAACGGAGGAGUACGAAGGUGCGCUCAGCGUGGUCGGAAAUCACGCGUAGAGUAUAAAGGCAAAAGCGCGCUUAACUGCGAGACCCACAAGUCGAGCAGGUACGAAAGUAGGUCUUAGUGAUCCGGUGGUUCUGUAUGGAAGGGCCAUCGCUCAACGGAUAAAAGGUACUCUGGGGAUAACAGGCUGAUACCGCCCAAGAGUUCAUAUCGACGGCGGUGUUUGGCACCUCGAUGUCGGCUCAUCUCAUCCUGGGGCUGAAGCAGGUCCCAAGGGUAUGGCUGUUCGCCAUUUAAAGAGGUACGCGAGCUGGGUUUAGAACGUCGUGAGACAGUUCGGUCCCUAUCUACCGUGGGCGCUGGAAAUUUGAGAGGAUCUGCUCCUAGUACGAGAGGACCAGAGUGGACGAACCUCUGGUGUACCGGUUGUGACGCCAGUCGCAUCGCCGGGUAGCUAUGUUCGGAAGGGAUAACCGCUGAAAGCAUCUAAGCGGGAAGCCUACCUCAAGAUAAGAUUUCCCUAGGACUUUAUGUCCUCUAAAGAGCCGUUCGAGACUAGGACGUUGAUAGGUUGGAUGUGGAAGCAUAGUGAUAUGUGAAGCUGACCAAUACUAAUUGCUCGUGAGGCUUGACU